CUUUGCUCUUCUGCCCACAGCCCCCGAGGAAUCUUCUGGGGUUGCAGAGUGAGCAUGUGAACCUUCAGGCUGCCCCCGGGCAGUCUUGCGCUUCUCAGGGCUGAGUCGAAAGGGGCACGGCACAGGCUUCCCGUAUGAACACACGUCCAAAACCCGUGUGGGACUGGUCCCAUGUUCACAGAACCAUAUACACUUGGAAGCUAUAAGAAAGGACCAAGAAGCAGCUCAUGUCUUCGGGGUAAAGGAGAAGACGGAAUGAGUGAUGAUGUGGAAACCCGUCCAGAGGACUCCUGAAGACAACGCUGGUGCCACCACUUGGGAAGGCUGUGGAGCCUGGAGGAGGCGGGGUCCUGCUGGAGGAAGCGGUGGCUAGGGUGGGACACCAUUUCCUGCUCACUCACAGCCUGCUUCCUGACUGCUGACACCACGUGAUGAGCCAGCUUCCGGCCCUGCCCCUGCAUCCUGCCCGCCAUGGUGGACAAACCCCUGAAAACGUGCGCUAAAACAGACCUCUCCUCCCUUAAGCACCUUUCUGUCAGGCGUGUUGUCCCAGCAACAGGGCAGUCACUGCCGCAGCAGAUCACGGGACGGGAGCUGUGCCCGACCGAGGACGUGGGGGCAGGACGUGCCGUGGGCAGAGCGAGCUGCCGCACUGGGAUCGCCCCGCACUCUUCCCAGCCUACCUGUGCUCAUGGCAGGAGGACCAGCAGGUGGAGCCACUUCCUGUGUUCUCAAGUCACACAUCAGACUCCACACGGCGAAGCAGAGGGAGACGCAGCCGAGCCAGUGACACUUUUUUAAAAAACAUGCUAAAAUGAGAAAGCAAGUUUCUCUUAGUUCUCCUGAGCUCUUCGAGCAGGUCAUCGAGGCUGCUGUUUAGCAUUUCAGCUUCUUCCCUCCUGGAAGCACAGCUGUCAGCUCCUUCCCUCUUUCCACUUUCCCUUUAGUCUCUGUUAUCUGAUCGUUAUGUUAUAAGAAAAAACAGGCAGCAGGCCACAAAGAUGCACACCUAGGCAGGCAGACCUCUGUGAGUUCAAGGCCAGCCUCAUCUACAGAGCAAGUUUCAGAGCAGCCAGGGCUACACAGUGAGACCCUUUUAA
Meriones unguiculatus (Mongolian gerbil) is the source of this 1100-nucleotide long non-coding RNA. RefSeq lists it as uncharacterized. NCBI's taxonomy places the organism in Eukaryota, Metazoa, Chordata, Mammalia, Rodentia, Muridae. The transcript has 3 exons. The record is from RefSeq and is a predicted model, not a curated record.